This 499-nucleotide unclassified non-coding RNA is filed under the name Hevea brasiliensis (rubber tree). The record is from RNAcentral. Lineage: Eukaryota; Viridiplantae; Streptophyta; Magnoliopsida; Malpighiales; Euphorbiaceae.
UGGAGUAAAACCACAUUAUUGUACUCUUUAUUUAUUGUCAAAAUGACAAACAAUAUGUUACUCUCUCACAAGAAAAACUUACAGCAUGGGAAAUUGAGCCUUUGAAAGAAUUGAAUCACUUGUUCAUUUUGAGAUAUUAAAAUAGGCAGGAGCACAAUAUUUGGCUCCUAUAUCUUAGGAACAGCAAUAUUAAGGAUCUUCUAUACAACCAUCUCAGUUAUGCAGUCUUAUUCCCCUCUGGAAACAACUAAAAACAGUUUUUACACAUGGCUCCAAAAAGAACAGUGUGAAACUAAAAGAAUUCUCCAUAGGAAUCUCUAAAGAUGGUCACAUAUUGCCUUUGUAAAAUCAGUUGUAGAUGAAGUACCACCUAGAUCUGCAGUUCGGUACUUUCCCCCAGCAAUUGUGUUAAGGAUAGCAUCCUGAAUCUUAUCAGCCUUGUCAUUGAGCUCUAAAUGGCGCAACAUUGAGACAGCACUUAACAGCAAGGCAGUGGGAU